UACCCAAUGCCCAAGAUUCUAAGAUGAAGUGCUGACAUGUGAAGGGAUAACAGGAUGGUUCUGCCAGCUUGAUCAUGUACCCCAGCUGGUAUAAGAAAAAAUGGUUGGACAGUAGAGGUUUCUUUGUGUGAGCUUUGUGUGAUAUUCCCUGCUCCCUCCUCACAGGAACAGAGGAGGCUUUACUUUUACCUCAAGCCAAUGAGCGAAGACUGAGGAGAUUUUGAUAUUUGAUAUCUGUGUCCCGGAGAUUGAGAGAGAUAGACAAUGGCAUUUGACUUAAGUCUGAGAAAUCCAAAGUGAAGAGGUAAAAAGAGAAUCCACUGGGGUAGUAGGCCCUUCCGCUCAAAUUGGGUCAUGUGGACAAAAUGACACUCCUUUCAAAGAACGGCCUCCUUCUCAUUCUCUGAAGAAAAAGGUUUGAGGAUGAAGGGAUCCUUUCCAUUUGACCUAUGUGAGAAUGUACAAUUUGCAAAGUAGGGAUUAUGUGCUAGAACUCCACAAGGUAUAGGGAAAAAUUGCAAGAGUUUUUGAGAUAGGUCAACCUAGUUUUGAAUCUGUUAUUGUUUAAGAACAUACUAUUUCUGAAACUCAAUAUCCUUAUCUGUAGGUCGGGAAAUUACUCUCUAAGACUACUGUGAAGGAUAAAUGAAAUAAGAUGAAAAUGAGGCAGAUACAUAAAAUAACUGUGUGACCUUAAGCAAACUGCAAAUGUCUUGGGUCUCUGUCUCUCAGUUUGCCCAUCCCAUUGUGUUGUCAAUGACACUUCCUGUCAAUGUUUGAAGUACAUAACAGGAAUUUUUUUAGGCAAGGCACAAAGUAUUGUUUUUUUAUAAAUGCUCAGUAAAUGUCAAGCCUGUAUUUUUUUGUGUCCAAAAUUAAAACUUUCGUUUUCGUUACAUAAGAAAGGUCCUUUUGGUGAGGGUGGGAAGGAUAUUUAAAUGGAAAGUUAUAUAUAUUAGGCCUGAAAAUUGUUAAUGACCUUAUUUAAAAUGACUAGAAAGGUACUUAAGGAAGGUAGCAGUUGUAGGCUUUCUUUUCUUAGGAAAUCAAUACUCAUAAAACUCAAGGAUGGAAUUGAGAAUUAAAAACCACAGUGAGUUUAUUUUAAAACAUGUAGUCUGUCAUCUUCGUUUUCCCUUUGGAUAACACAGUGUUUAUAUCCUGAGGUCUAUUUAUGUUGCUGCGACUUUCGCUGACUUUGAAGUGAACUUCACAUGGUGCUAGAAUCAGAACAGCGGGGCUUAGAGAUCACACAGUCCAACCCUCUCAUUUAAAAAGAGUAAAUUGAGGUCAGAGAGGAAAGUGAAUCGCCCGGACACCUCCUCUGUUUCCUCCGAGUUAUAAAAUGGAACCUCCUGUUGUUCUUAGCCACCAGGCCCAGCUCUGAGAGGCCAAGAGUCGUCCUCCCCUGCUCCCCCUCCCUCGGGCCUUGAUCUUCCACUAAACGUAGACAGUGCCUGGCACUUAGCAGGCACUCCAUAGUUCUCAAAAAGAGGAAUGGCAUUAACUGUGAACAGGGUUUCGUUCUCACCAGAGCCUGAUUAGAGCCUCUGGCAUUCUUGGUGUGGCUUAGGAGAAUCACUAACCGCUGGUUAAAGAAAAAAAAAAAAAAUCCUUGCUGCUCGUCUCCAGGAUACAUGCUUCAUGGAGAUGCCCUUGUGAGAGACGUUCCACAGCCAAUCAGCCUGCAAUUUAAUGCAUCCUCCCCGUGUGACUUCUCAUCUGCAGAUUCCUUUAGAGCCACCAUUUCCUCUGUCCGGGGCAUCUCGAGGCAUCCAGCAGCUCUCCUCUACUUGGCAAGCACACAGAUUUGUCAUCAAAGCUCAUGGUCAGGUCGGAGGGCUGCCGAGUUCUUCCGGGUGUCCUUUCAGGGUCUCAGAAAACAAAUUUCAUUUAUGCUUAUAUUUUAAAUCUGGCUGGUCCAAAAUUUCAGUAUUUACAAAAGAAAUCUGUUUAUUUCUUUUGAUGUGACUCAGAUAGAGACUAAUUUUAUUUGUAUAGUUAUCUUUAAGGUUAUGUGGGUUGGAGAAUGAGUCAUAGACAACGAAAAAGUAAAAUGUUGAGUAGGACAAACCCACUUAGAGGUUUGUAAUUUUGGAGGUUUUUGUCUGAAGAGGAGAUAGCUAAACCUGAGAGAGCAAUAAGUAUCCUGUAUGUUCCACGUAGGAGUGACCAGCUGUUCCCCUCUUUCCUAGGGUGACCCCAAUAGUCAUUAGGGUUAAAGGGCAGCAGUAGGCAUUUUUAUUAGAACCAGAUAACUUUCUGGAGUUCCUUUAAUGACAGAAAGAUACCUUCAUGGAGUCCCUUUCGCCUGUUUUCGAAUUCCUCCAAGGCCAGUUCUGCAGCUCACUUCACCUUGUUCACGGAUGAUCUGGAGCCCUGGUCCUCAAAGGAACCCAGGUGCCCUGGGCGGCCCUUGCAGCGAGCUCCUAGGAGCCCCGCAGGACGGUUUACAUGGUCGGGGGACAGCACAGCGCCAUCUGUCGGACAUCACGCCAAUUACUAUUAUUAAGUUGUUCGGACCUCACUAGUACUUAAUAAACGAAACUAUUAGAUUUACCCUAGGGGCACGGCGACAAAUUUGCUGAGACCUCAGGGAACCACGAGCCAAGAAAGUUUGGGAACCUCUGAAGAAUGGUUAAGAGACGUCAGAAAGAUCACAAUUGACAAAGGAGUUAGCAAAAGAAACCCUAAACAUUCUCCCUUUCUGUUUAUUGCCUGCAGACUUCCCCACUCUGUUCUUAGCUACGUAAACAAAGGCAGACAUCAUUGUCAGGAGCCAGGCUCCAGCUUCUCUGCCUGUUAUCAGUUUACUGCUACUUUACAGCUAAUGAACCCUUUCUAUUUAUAUCUUCGUGUCCACGUCUAUAGAUGGAUGAUAUUUAUCUGCACCUGUGCAUUUUUUCCUAGCGAUGUCUCCUUAAAAAAUUAUUUUUAAAAAGUUAAGGACAUGGGUUUAAUGUUACAGAAUGUGCUAGAGUAGAAGCUGUGUAGUUCUCACAUCUGAAUUGAGGGCCAUCAUGGGGAGAGGUGUUGAUGUGGAAUUAAUGUCCUCGUAGGUGACCUCUGUCAACUUUACAAGCUCUUUGAUGACUGAUUAGUCCAUUUAUAAAACAAAGAAAAUAAUGCAGAUGUUAUUGAGGUUUUGUGUUUAUAAAAUAUCCUAAGAUGCUCAGAUGAAAGGUGUGACAUGGGAAAUGCCGUCUGAGAUGGACCCUCCCACAGAGUCACAGCUGAUCCCUCUCAAUGUGACGGAAACUUGAUAUUUGAAAACUCCCUUGAUAAGAAUCGUGUGCUCAUCAGCUGUGCCUUUUCUCUGACAUUUGUUCCAGUUUUCUUUCCUCUUUACCAUCCCUUCAAAUUGGUUGACGUUUAUAACCUGCGAGAGAGUCAUUGAGCAAUGACUUAAGAGAGGCCUCCGCAAACACAAUUGCUUUUCCACCAGAGUCCACUCAGAGCCAGAAAAUUGCUAAAUUGCAACACCAUGAAGCCAAAAGUUGCAAUCAUCAUAUAAAGAACUUUAUUUUUGUGUAAGUGGAAGUUAGAACAGAGAGAACAUACACAAAGUACUAAAUGUAUAAAUACUAUCUACAUAGUAGAUAUGGAGGCGAGCAGAAAGACAGAAGAGAGUGUUUAUCGAGUUUUAUAAUCAUAAUAAAAAAG
Equus asinus (donkey) is the source of this 3663-nucleotide long non-coding RNA. Lineage: Eukaryota; Metazoa; Chordata; Mammalia; Perissodactyla; Equidae. The record is from Ensembl.